This 253-nucleotide ribosomal RNA is filed under the name uncultured bacterium. Its description in RNAcentral is "partial 16S ribosomal RNA". It matches the Rfam family "Bacterial small subunit ribosomal RNA", at positions 524 to 776 of the family's 1533-position model. The record is from RNAcentral.
UACGGAGGAUCCAAGCGUUAUCCGGAUUUAUUGGGCUUAAAGGGCGCGUAGGCGGCCUAUUAAGUCAGGGGUGAAAGCCGGUAGCUUAACUAUCGCAGUGCCCUUGAUACUGAUGGGCUUGAAUAUACUAGAGGUAGGCGGAAUGUGACAAGUAGCGGUGAAAUGCAUAGAUAUGUCGCAGAACACCAAUUGCGAAGGCAGCUUACUAUGGUAUUAUUGACGCUGAGGCACGAAAGCGUGGGGAUCAAACAGG